CUUUAGCAUGAUCUUGCUCACAUAUACAAUGCUGCUGCUAACAGCCAACGCGGCAUGCUUGCUGUCACGAAAAUAAAAAUAAAUCGAAAGUUUAAUUUCUAAUUAUGGAACGGCCAACACAUCAUAUUAACCUCUCGCUCUGUUGUAUUUUUGUUUUUUAUUAUUAAGAUGAUCGUUUUGAAUUUUUGCACUGGUAUUAAUAAAUAAAAUAAUCCGGUCAGCUCCCCUGUCGUCCCCGCAUCUCAGAUCGUCAAAUGCUGACGAGAAAUAAUUGUUUGCUUUAUGAUUUCGCCUUUCUACUCUUAUUAGUCUGUUAAGAAAAAUGUAGACAUAUUGCGACAUCUCCCGUGUCCGCGCGCUUUGUUUUUGGGGCGCUUGAGUAGCACAUGAUGGACGGAUUGACAUAAUUUGUCAAACCAACCGACACCCUCUGACACGGAAAAAAAAAAAAACACUCGGAAAAAAUUGACAUGUAUAUACAGUUUCAUUGCAAAUCAGUAUUAUGGUGAUCAUACUAAAUAUUAUUUUUUUUUCUGUGCACAUAUGAGGUACAUAUCGCUGCCAUGAAGCCUCCAUAUAGUGACAGUUCUCUGCCCGCUUCACUGCCGUCACGCGACCGCAGCUCAGGUUUUGCUUGCCUCGUAGCUACGUGUGUUUUAAAUUACUGUAAAUUUGAUAGUAUAUCGUCAUAGGCACAGUCCCGAGUCUGUUGAGAAAAGUAGAACACUAAACCAUGCUCGCUAGAUUUGUGUGGUGUUUUUGUCUUUUUGAGCAGCAUUUGAUAGGCUCCACGUUAACAAAUAUGUGACAAAGUCGUUUCCUUUCAUUUUAUGACUCGUUCACCGCAUAGUCAUUACUGGAAAGUCAAGUUAGCAGCAAGCUAGGUCAGGAACCGGAGGACCGAAUCACUGAACGGGAAGUGACAAAACUCAGUCUUUCCCCCCUGCCUGCACGCUGGCUGCUUAUUGGCCACACGUGGAAAUGAGUGACAUACGCCAUGAUUCUGUUUCCGCUCCCUCCCCUGCCCGCGAUGAGGCUGGCGUCUGAUUGGUCGUGUGCGAUGUCAGAAGACGCUGCCGCUUGCUCAACGCCCUCCCACGCAGCGAACAAGCGCCACCAACUUCAUAGAACGAAUCAGUGCAGAUGGUGAUUAGUUCGGUCUCGUUCACCCAAACAAUUCGUUCAAAAAGAACGAAUCGUUCGCGACCGAUACAACACUAGGGUGUACACACUUUUGUGAUACAAUAGGCGCUUUCGCACUGUAGGAAUUUGAGUACUUGGCUCCUUUAACUAUCGCGCCCUCCUGUAGUUAGAGGAGCUAUCCUUCGCGAAGCAGUCGUGUUCGCACAUGGGGUACUACGCCCAAUUCGACAUGCUGUGACGUUAUAGUCUGCGCCAGUGAUGCAUUAUUUACUCGCCAGUCGCCACACCAAGCAGCGGCGCAUGAGCUAAACGGAAGACAACGAAAUGGAGACCACUGAAGACACCGCAGCAAUUCUUGCAUGUUUGAAGGGAAUCGUUUCCAUCAGCGAGCAAUCCCAGCGUCUAACGACGAGACUGGUGGCACACAUUAAAAGACAACAGAGCCAAAGGCAAGCGAUGUUUCUUCGUUUCAUGGAGACUGAAAGGGUAUAGCCGACGACCAUAGAAGACAAAGGAGGCUACGGGUAAGUGUAAAACAAUGUAUUUGACGUGUUUACUAAGGAUGUAAGUGUUCACGUGAUGCGUGAAAAGUAAGGGGCGUAUUUGCCGCUGAUUUCAGCGAAUCACCAAAGAGCUACGUAAUAUCGUUCCUGGGGCCCGUGGAAAGUACUCACUUCAGAGCCGGAGCUAAAAUGUAGCUCGGAAGACGAGGUCCGCGUCCUAGGUUCCUACAUAUCUGAACACACAAAAUGACGUCAUCCACCCCCAAAAGGGUCGAGGAACUGCGUAUAGUUACAACAGUGCGAAAGCGCCUAAUGUAGAUGACAAUGUGCUGUUGAAGCUUGUCACUGAGGCUCCCAAUGGCAUCAAACUCAACAUGAGCGCCACCUACUCUAAAAUCUCCCAUGAAAUGAUGGCUGGAUGCCCACAUCUUCACGUGGGAGGAGGCCCGGUCGCUGAAGUCGGAGCUCGGAGCGUGCAACUGUAGACUGUGGACGAGCGUAGACGGCGCGCGGCCGUUGGCCGAAACGUAGACCGCGGCCCGCCUCCUCCUUUUGCUGUAGAAAAUCCCACGUCGCCGUUGGCCGAAAUGUCGACCGCGGUUCGCCCCCUUUUUUCGGCAGCGGCCAAUCGGCUCUCCUCGCCUACGACCAUGGACGCCUGUGAUUGGCUCCGCGAACGUAGACCGCGGCGGCCCGCCUCCUCCUUACGACGCGCUUGUGAUUGGCUCAAAAGACCCAAUCGGCGAAAAGACCACGCACUCAGUCGACAAGCUGAAAAGGUAAAUAUUGUGUAUGAAAUUCGCCAAAAAUGAUGCAAACCGAGUGUUGUUUUUCAAUUACCAAUUCGAGCUAACGCUAGCUAGGCUAGUUGGUGUGUAGAUAAGUUGUGUUGUGCGCGUUGCGCCGCGCUAAUAAUAAUUAGCCAUGUGCAGGCACGCACGUAACCUUAACGUUCAAUAACCCCGUGUGCUAUACGUCUUGUAUUACUUGUAACUAAUCACAAAUUCAACCAGUAACUCAUUCAUUUCACUUGUGUUCAAUGCAUUUUUGUUGUGACGUGAUCCUCCCUAUAGAGCCUACCCACGUACCACGUGUUCGCUGUAGGGUUCCGCCCACUUGUCCGUCAAAACGACUCUGUAUUAGCAUUGUUUUCAAUUGAUGGCGCAAUUUAAAAUGCAUAGCAUGAUGCCCACACUGUAAAUGCUCCCUAUUUGGAUUACAAAAAAACUUAAACAAAACAGAAAUACUGUACUAAAGAGACGUCAUCAUUUUGUAAGUGGGCCAAUUUUGCAUUUCCCCCAAUAACUUCGUUUUUAUUUGGAAUUUGGGAAUUAGAUGAACUCAAGACACCCCUCUCAACAUUUUAACAUCCCUGAACAUCGUCAUUUUUCUUUUUCUAAUUGCCAGCUAGGAUUCAAGGCAUCCUCUUCACAACCAACAAAAACGCAAUUUUAUUAUUACCAUCGUCUAGAAUUUUUCCUCCGUGUCAUGUCCUGCUUUUGUGUUGACACUUGCCUUGGUGUUUCUCAGUGUACUUCAGAAGCGAUGACCGGCCACCAUGCUUUGCUGCCUAAACCACGCCUGAGAAGUACAUGUACAAACAAGCUAGGAAAAACUGCCUUGCCGUCACCGCAGCUCCAACAAACCAGCAGAUUCUCGGCCAGCUCACGGUAACCUUUGGGAAAUACAAAGGCAAGACCUUCAUGUGGCUUAUGGAGGAAGAUGUCGGCUAUAUAAAGUAGUCUCCUCGAUGGCCACGUAAAGGAGAGGCGACGACAGAAGGGAAGGUGCGACACCAAAACUGGGGAGUGGUGCCUGAAGGAGCAGCUUCUACGCUACGUGGAUAUAUUCCCUCCGGUGUCAUGCCACUUGGAGCAGAACAUCGACCGGGCCAUCUGCGGGCAUGGCAGCUUCCGGUCCUUCACGUUCGAGGAGAUGUGGCAGUUUUAUGACCUCUCCAAACUCUUCCGUAACGAUCUCCAGGCCGAAAGCGCAGAAGAAUGGCAGAUGGCCCAGGAAGCCUUCUGCUUUGUGCGUCAGUGGCUACUGAUGGCAGAGUAGGACAUCAAUGUCACGUUAAGCCAUUUCGACUGUACAUCCUCACAAAGGAGUAGGAGGUCAGUAGGUCGAUAAAAAAAUAACAUAAUUUCCUUUGCAAGUGUUAUAAUCAGGGGUGCACAUAAGUGGUCCGCAUGCGCGCAUGCGCACCGGACAUAGACAAACGCGCUGGCCCUCAACGGCUUCCAUACGCUUUUGCGUACCAAUGGCUGACCAUAAGCCUGUCGCAAUAUGCAAUAAUUCCAUUUAUCGCGUGAUAUAUAAAAAUGAAGGCGGUAAUUUUUCCGCUGCGACUUAUCGCCUCGCGUGCACGUGCGUGCGCACGUGCGGCACACGUGCUGUUAAAAGUUCGGAUUCCUCGUUACCAACUGCGCAAAAUGCAUCUUCGUUCCAAGUCCGGCAAAAACUAGCGCCGGAGCCAAUCGUUCCCAUUAUAUCCUGUUGUUCAAUGUAUACCGGCCGCAUAAGUGCUCCGGAGUGACUGUGGACCAUCUACAGCGCGCCGGUGCCGGAGAACGUCACUGAAACCUGCCACAGUGGACGCAAUUUUAUUUCUCCACGACGACGACCAAAAAAUAUAACCAGUAUAAGUUUAAGCCAUAAUAUCCUGCUGUUCAAAUCGCCAUUUUUUGUCAGAGCCGGUCUAAUUAUUUCCCUUAUUUCACAGUAAUAAAGAGCAAGACAUGAGGCGGGGGCCGCAAGUUGCCGACUGCAGUCAAGGCCCGCCCGCAAUUUAAAGCUUUUAUUUCAUUUUUACUUUUUAUUUUGGUAUUGUUGUCGUUACAAUAAAGAAUGUUAUUUCAAAGCAUUUGUAGUUUGUUUUUUUUUUUUUUUGCUGCUGUUCCCUCUCCUUGUCAGAGAGGCGCGUCCAUGUGAGAACAAUAUCCUACACACUCAGAAAUAUGUUUAACAAACUUUCCCAGCGUUAUUUCGUUGUGUGAAUGCUUUGAUAAUUCUCAAAAAAAUAUGUAGAUUAUUUAAACAUUAAGAAAACUUGCGUUUUUUUCUGCCAACUCGAAGAAAUGAAAAUAAAUUGCUGCUGCUGCGCUUUUUCCGCGUCACUCCAAAAAAAAAAAAAAAAAAUCGGGUUUUUCGGGCUCGGGCCUGCAAAUCUAGUUAAGUGAUCGAGCUCGGGCCGGGUCGGGCCUCAAUACCAGCGGGCCGUGUCGGGUCGGGCUGGAUUUUUUAGGCUCGAACUAGGCUCUAAUCCAGUGUGCCAUUUCAUGAUAUCUAGUGUGUGCGCGCAUUAAAAAAGUUAACAAGCGCCGCUUAGGUCACGUCUGCUCAUUACUUCAAAACACCAGCAUAUGACACAGCGCUCUUAAUUUCAUUCAGCUGUUUAUUGUCAAAGCGAGGUUGUUCGUAGCAGCCUAGUCGGUAACAAUGUUUUGGCGGACUUCGUUGUAAAUAUCCGGCGUUGUGCCGAAAAACAGCCACCCGCGUGAAAUGUCACUCCUGACGGGAGCGCCUACACGUCGUACGUAUCAAUGUGUUUUAUUUUACAAGGUCAUUGACCGCCUCCUUAAAAUUUACAAAGUUUUUCAAAAGAUCUGCCAGAAAGUCCAUUGGACAUGGAUGCCUUGACCGUGUAGGUCUAUUUAAAAAAAAAAAAAUUUUUUUAAUAUUUUUUGUGACCCUGUGCGGAUUGGCCACAAAGCGCACAGGCGCGUAGUAUUUGACAUUGCCAGUCUUCAUCAUCACCUUGUGGUGGUGGUUAUUGUUGUGCUGCUGC
Molecule: long non-coding RNA, 5436 nt
Organism: Corythoichthys intestinalis (scribbled pipefish)
Lineage: Eukaryota; Metazoa; Chordata; Actinopteri; Syngnathiformes; Syngnathidae
Exons: 3
Source: RefSeq, a predicted model, not a curated record